UACGGAGGGGGCUAGCGUUGUUCGGAAUUACUGGGGCGUAAAGCGCACGUAGGCGGCUUUUGUAAGUUAGAGGUGAAAGCCCGGGGGCUCAACUCCGGAAUUGCCUUUAAGACUGCAUCGCUAGAAUUGUGGAGAGGUAAGUGGAAUUCCGAGUGUAGAGGUGAAAUUCGUAGAUAUUUCGGAAGAACACCAGUGGCGAAGGCGACUUACUGGACACAUAUUGACGCUGAGGUGCGAAAGCGUGGGGGGAGCAAACAGGAUUUAGAA
RNAcentral lists this ribosomal RNA (267 nucleotides) under uncultured bacterium. Its description in RNAcentral is "partial 16S ribosomal RNA". It matches the Rfam family "Bacterial small subunit ribosomal RNA", at positions 524 to 784 of the family's 1533-position model. The record is from RNAcentral.